Non-coding RNA from Microcebus murinus (gray mouse lemur), 1283 nucleotides. Lineage: Eukaryota; Metazoa; Chordata; Mammalia; Primates; Cheirogaleidae. The record is from RefSeq and is a predicted model, not a curated record.
AAAAUUAUUGAACUCAAUACAAGAUAUGUAGUAAGAAAACUACCAAUAAAUAACUCAACAUUACUUACUAAAAACCAAAAUAUAUAUAGCUGAAAAGAGAAUUUGUAAACUGAAAGCUAGGUCAGAAGAAAAUAUCCAAACUGACACAGAGACAGUUAAGAGGAUGGAAUAUAUAGAAAAGAGUAUGAAAGACUUAUUAGACAUGGUGAAAAGCUUUAUUUGAGGAAGAGAAAGGAGAGAAAAAAAUGGAAUGAAAACAAUAUUUGAAGAGAAAAAGGCCAAGAAUUUUUCAGAUUCAAGACAUGCUACAAACUCCAAGAAGGAAUGGACCCCAUCACACCCCCACACAUGAGGAUGAAUACAUGGCUCAGCUAUGGCAAAUAUAAUAGAUCUCACUGUUUAGACAGCAUUUGCUCCAGGGUUGGUCACUUUACUCAAGCUUGGAAUAUGAGACUUCCCAGGACUUCUAAAUUGAGAACGUUUACUCUCUAGUCCUGAAACGCAGUGAAGCAGUUGCCAUGGAAACAGAAUCCAAUGCCUCUUUCUGGAGCCUCACAUCAACGCAAUUUGAUGAGAAGGACUAACACACUACCUCCUACCUGUAUUUUAUACGUCUUAAGAUCUAUUGCCUGAAAAAGAUGCAAGUCAUUACUGGGAUAACAUGUUGACUCUCAUCCUGUGAUUCCGACUGGAGAAUGAAUACCACUGAUGACAGUCACAUGGCCAUGCUAACAAGCAAGGUAGGAGAGGCCAUGCAUAUUCGCUGGAGGACAUUUUCAAGAUUACUUAUACGACAGGAUAUCAUACCUAAGAUUGUACCCAAGAGUUUUAAAUUUUUUCAUGAGUAAAAUCAGUAGAAACCUUAAUUUAAAUGUGACACUAUGACCAUAUGACCAUUUUUUAGCCUUUAAAGAUGGAGACUUUAAAUUACCUGGACAGGUUCUCCCCCCACCUUUUUAUUUUGAGAAAAUCAACAGAUAAGCUCUUUAACUAACUAUACACACUUAAGGCAAGUCCUUUGUUCUUGACAAAAUUGCAGUGAUCUGUAGGCUGAGGUUAAGUGUUGUGAUUUGAUCAUUGUGUAAGGUAGAAGCAGAGCUGGAGCUCUGAGAAUGUGGACUUCAUUGCUUUUUUCAUUUUUUAGAAUUAGUUAAUUGCUUUAAAUUUUUUUGCUUUUUGUUUUGAUCUUUUUGUUUAAGUUUUGAGGAUUGCUUGCAGGAGACAAGGCACCAAAGACAUGCAGACGGGCUUUACUAAAAAACAGAGCACGAGUGGAACUGAGU